GUAGGUGGCAAGCGUUGUCCGGAAUUAUUGGGCGUAAAGCGCGCGCAGGCGGUCCUUUAAGUCUGAUGUGAAAGCCCACGGCUCAACCGUGGAGGGUCAUUGGAAACUGGGGGACUUGAGUACAGAAGAGGAAAGCGGAAUUCCAAGUGUAGCUGUGAAAUGCGUAGAGAUUUGGAGGAACACCAGUGGCGAAGGCGGCUUUCUGGUCUGUAACUGACGCUGAGGCGCGAAAGCGUGGGGAGCAAACAGGGAUUAGAUACCCUGGUAGUCCACGCCGUAAACGAUGAGUGCUAAGUGUUAGGGGGUUUCCGCCCCCUUAGUGCUGCAGCUAACGCAUUAAGCACUCCGCCUGGGGAGUACGGCCGCAAGGCUG
RNAcentral lists this ribosomal RNA (373 nucleotides) under uncultured organism. Its description in RNAcentral is "partial 16S ribosomal RNA". It matches the Rfam family "Bacterial small subunit ribosomal RNA", at positions 527 to 896 of the family's 1533-position model. The record is from RNAcentral.